This 740-nucleotide ribosomal RNA is filed under the name Microbacterium paraoxydans. RNAcentral's name for it is "bacterial SSU rRNA". It matches the Rfam family "Bacterial small subunit ribosomal RNA", at positions 68 to 814 of the family's 1533-position model. The record is from RNAcentral. Lineage: Bacteria; Bacillati; Actinomycetota; Actinomycetes; Micrococcales; Microbacteriaceae.
GUGAACACGGAGCUUGCUCUGUGGGAUCAGUGGCGAACGGGUGAGUAACACGUGAGCAACCUGCCCCUGACUCUGGGAUAAGCGCUGGAAACGGCGUCUAAUACUGGAUAUGUGACGUGACCGCAUGGUCUGCGUUUGGAAAGAUUUUUCGGUUGGGGAUGGGCUCGCGGCCUAUCAGCUUGUUGGUGAGGUAAUGGCUCACCAAGGCGUCGACGGGUAGCCGGCCUGAGAGGGUGACCGGCCACACUGGGACUGAGACACGGCCCAGACUCCUACGGGAGGCAGCAGUGGGGAAUAUUGCACAAUGGGCGGAAGCCUGAUGCAGCAACGCCGCGUGAGGGAUGACGGCCUUCGGGUUGUAAACCUCUUUUAGCAGGGAAGAAGCGAAAGUGACGGUACCUGCAGAAAAAGCGCCGGCUAACUACGUGCCAGCAGCCGCGGUAAUACGUAGGGCGCAAGCGUUAUCCGGAAUUAUUGGGCGUAAAGAGCUCGUAGGCGGUUUGUCGCGUCUGCUGUGAAAUCCCGAGGCUCAACCUCGGGCCUGCAGUGGGUACGGGCAGACUAGAGUGCGGUAGGGGAGAUUGGAAUUCCUGGGGGUAGCGGUGGAAUGCGCAGAUAUCAGGAGGAACACCGAUGGCGAAGGCAGAUCUCUGGGCCGUAACUGACGCUGAGGAGCGAAAGGGUGGGGGAAGCAAACAGGGCUUAGAUACCCUGGUAGUCCACCCCGGUAAACGUUGGGG